Molecule: long non-coding RNA, 998 nt
Filed under: Oryctolagus cuniculus (rabbit)
Lineage: Eukaryota; Metazoa; Chordata; Mammalia; Lagomorpha; Leporidae
Description: lncRNA (ENSOCUG00000034111.1)
Source: RNAcentral
UCUUCCCAAACAGGUUAAGAUUGGGGUAGAUGUUGCUUCUAGGUGCUCCCCAAAUGCCUUUUGCCUACAUUUACUGUAGCCCUGUAGAUUCUGGGUUGAAGCUGCCUAUUGUUUCCUGAGUCUCCAACUAAUGUGCAUGCUCCUUUGGGCCAUGACUUAACCUUGUUCACUCUUGUCUACCCAGUAGUUAGCAUAACGCCUGGCACACAGAAAAUGCACAGGAAGGCUCUAAUGAUUUGUACAAGAUUACAUGGCUAAUGGGUGGCAGAUCUGGGUUGAAAACCAGAUCUGUCUGCCAGUGGGGCAUUUAUUUCCCACUGUGCUGAGAAAGAAAUCUGCCCUUCAGAUACACACUCAUCCAAACACAGUUUUUAAAAUCCAGUCUCAAGGGUAUUCACAUGGUACACAUUGACACUCUGUUAAAGACAGACCCACAAUGAAAGUAAAUUAUUAGAAAUUCUUCCACUGAAGUGUGACAAAAGCUGGCACCACAUGUGGUGUUUAUACCGCAGGGCGGCUUUGGCCCAGGAAUGGGCCCCAGUGUGAUUCUCAUGCAAUGGAACAAUAAUAAUAGCUCUGAACCAGCCAUUUGGAAUGAAUAGAUCACGGAUGAGCUGCACAAAUGCAUCUUGCUCCUACCUAACAAUGUUAUUUCAUAGAACGCAUCCAAAAUACGAUUGUGGUGGCAUUACAGACCGCUGCAGCUGGGCGAAGAAGAAAAGAGAACUCAACAAUGGUCGCCACAGCUGUGCAGAACGUUUGAUACUCUCGUCAACAGCUCCUGCAGCUGGGCCGAAUGCAUUUUACAUCCUCUUUGAAAAAGAAAGAGAAAAUUCAUAUUUAUGGAAUAUCAAGUAUGCAUCAGGAUGAUGUCAGAUGCUUUCCUUUAAUGCUCACAGCAAACUUUGGAGCAAGAGGUAUUACCUUCAUUUUUGCCACUGGGAACAAUCUAUCUUUGGGGAAAUAAAGUGAUUUGUACUAGAUUUCUGAUAGAAGUU